RNAcentral lists this ribosomal RNA (486 nucleotides) under uncultured bacterium. RNAcentral describes it as "partial 16S ribosomal RNA". It matches the Rfam family "Bacterial small subunit ribosomal RNA", at positions 28 to 507 of the family's 1533-position model. The record is from RNAcentral.
GAUGAACGCUGGCGGCGUGCCUAAUACAUGCAAGUCGAACGCUGGAGAUCUAGCUUGCUUGAUCGAAGGAGUGGCGAACGGGUGAGUAAUACAUAAGCAACCUACCCACGAAGACUGGGAUAAUCUCUGGAAACGGGGACUAAUACCGGAUAGGUAAUCGGAAGGCAUCUUCUGGUUAUUAAAGGUUAAAAACACUGGUGGAUGGGCUUAUGGCGCAUUAGUUAGUGGGUGAGGUAACGGCCCACCAAGACGAUGAUGCGUAGCCGGCCUGAGAGGGUGAACGGCCACAUUGGGACUGAGACACGGCCCAGACUCCUACGGGAGGGAGCAGUAUGGAAGUUUAGGCAAGGGAGGCAAACCUGACCGAGCAACGCCGGGUGAGAGAAGACGGCCUUCGGGUUGUAAAGCUCUGUUGGAAGGGAAGAACGGUAGAUAGAGAAUAUCUAAGUGACGGUACCUGACCAGAAAGCCACGGCUAACUACGUG